This 468-nucleotide ribosomal RNA is filed under the name uncultured bacterium. RNAcentral's name for it is "partial 16S ribosomal RNA". It matches the Rfam family "Bacterial small subunit ribosomal RNA", at positions 28 to 507 of the family's 1533-position model. The record is from RNAcentral.
GACGAACGCUGGCGGCGUGCUUAACACAUGCAAGUCGAACGGAAAGGCCCUGCUUUUGUGGGGUGCUCGAGUGGCGAACGGGUGAGUAACACGUGAGUAACCUGCCCUUGACUUUGGGAUAACUUCAGGAAACCGGGGCUAAUACCGGAUCGGAGCUCCUGCUGCAUGGUGGGGGUUGGAAAGUUUCGGCGGUUGGGGAUGGACUCGCGGCUUAUCAGCUUGUUGGUGGGGUAGUGGCUUACCAAGGCUUUGACGGGUAGCCGGCCUGAGAGGGUGACCGGCCACAUGGGGACUGAGAUACGGCCCAGACUCCUACGGGAGGCAGCAGUGGGGAAUAUUGCACAAUGGGCGGAAGCGUGAUGCAGCAACGCCGCGUGCGGGAUGACGGCCUUCGGGUUGUAAACCGCUUUCGCCUGUGACGAAGCGUGAGUGACGGUAAUGGGUAAAGAAGCACCGGCUAACUACGUG